GAAGCUCGUCAGCUGAGUUUCUCCGACGUGUUACACGUCUACGUAGUGGAAAGGUCCGUGCGAUGGAAAGACGACGAGCGUCAUGAAAAGUGUUCGAUGGAUGAAGAUAAAGGUGGGAAGAUUUAAGGGUAGAAACAAGCGUAGAAGUUACGAGGAUGCUGAUUAGAGUUUUAUGUAGUAGUAGUUGUAUCGAGAUUUAUGUCCAGAUGAUAUUUGUCAUCAUUUUGCAGUGAGGCAUGAGUCGUCGAAUAUAAUACUAUAAAUUUUACAUUUUGAACGUCAUCAGAGCUGGUUUCAACUUCUGACGUGUUUCCAAUUAGGUUUCGAGGAAACCCUUUGCGAAGGGAGAAUUUCUGUGGACGUCCCUCGGACACUGAUUACCACUCGCAGCAGUGGAAAGAAAGAGGUAACUGGGUUAAGGUCGGCCAGCAUCCGUGACCUCGACAAUUACCAUUCGACGCCCUUCGGCACGUGAAAGACAGUUUUCAUACAACGAAAAUGCUGGCGCAUUGUUGGACCUUCGACAUCCUCAUACCGUGUUUUAUGUCUACUUGAUGCACAAGUGGAAUGAAGACCUUACUAUUCAGACACAUAAUAAAGAAAUUAAUAGAAGACAAGUCUUAAAGUGGUAAGUGCAAAGGGAUGUCCUGGAGGCGCGCGGGUCCGGCGAACGCGGGACAGAGAGAAAAGAGGAAGAAAAGAGCUGACGGGUACACGAGGCUGGCAAGAUUAAUGGAUUCGCAUUGUCGGCAUUUUUUCAAGCGUUUUAGGACUACUUUUGAGUGCAGGAGAGCAUCUCAUUUUUCAAAAAGUCCGGUGCCGUCUGUAGGCCCCGAUAGAAAAAUUGCAAUCGAUUCGGCCCGCGCUAAUGGUUCCGAAUUAAGCGUGUCUGGUCUCUCGCGUUGCCGGCCUGGGAGUAUCGUCGAAUCAGCCUCUUGUAGGCCGUAAGUGUUACGUAAGAAUGGGUAUCGAUAGUCGUCUUCGUAAAUACCUCGCUGUUCAAGACACGUUGAGGAGAUUCGUUUCUCAUGGCGCAAUGACACGCUGUGACAUUUGAACGCCUCGUAGAGUUCGCUUCUUGCACAUAUGCGCACACAAUGGAGAAGCUUCUUGCAUCUUGUUCGAAGUUCAGAAACUCGUAAUUAAAUUAAGGGUGGAUGUGUCGAAAUAAACUUUUGUUUCAAUGAGAACGAUGUAAAUUGAAUUUAAUAAGAAAUUAAUAAAUAUUCGAUUCUCUGUGACUUU
Molecule: long non-coding RNA, 1245 nt
Organism: Frieseomelitta varia
Lineage: Eukaryota; Metazoa; Arthropoda; Insecta; Hymenoptera; Apidae
Exons: 4
Source: RefSeq, a predicted model, not a curated record